UACUUAGUGGCAGACGGGUGAGUAACAUGUGGGUAUCUACCCUUUGGCCUGGAAUAACACGAGGAAACUUGUGCUAAUACCGGAUAAGUCUUUACGGAGAAAGCUUUAUGCACCAAUGGAUGAGCCCGCACUUGAUUAGUUUGUUGGUAGGGUAAUGGCCUACCAAGACUAUGAUCAAUAGCUGAUUUGAGAGGAUGAUCAGCCACAUUGGGACUGAGACACGGCCCAAACUCCUACGGGAGGCAGCAGUGGGGAAUCUUGCACAAUGGAGGAAACUCUGAUGCAGCGAUGCCGCGUGAGUGAAGAAGGCCUUUGGGUUGUAAAGCUCUUUCGUCGGGGAAGAAAAUGACUGUACCCGAAUAAGAAGGUCCGGCUAACUUCGUGCCAGCAGCCGCGGUAAUACGAAGGGACCUAGCGUAGUUCGGAAUUACUGGGCUUAAAGAGUUCGUAGGUGGUUGAAAAAGUUGGUGGUGAAAUCCCAGAGCUUAACUCUGGAACUGCCAUCAAAACUUUUCAGCUAGAGUAUGAUAGAGGAAAGCAGAAUUUCUAGUGUAGAGGUGAAAUUCGUAGAUAUUAGAAAGAAUACCAAUUGCGAAGGCAGCUUUCUGGAUCAUUACUGACACUGAGGAACGAAAGCAUGGGUAGCGAAGAGGAUUAGAUACCCUCGUAGUCCAUGCCGUAAACGAUGUGUGUUAGACGUUGGAAAUUUA
Molecule: ribosomal RNA, 710 nt
Filed under: alpha proteobacterium SCGC AAA163-A15
Lineage: Bacteria; Pseudomonadati; Pseudomonadota; Alphaproteobacteria
Description: bacterial SSU rRNA
Rfam family: Bacterial small subunit ribosomal RNA
Source: RNAcentral